This 326-nucleotide ribosomal RNA is filed under the name uncultured eukaryote. RNAcentral's name for it is "partial 18S ribosomal RNA". It matches the Rfam family "Eukaryotic small subunit ribosomal RNA", at positions 1470 to 1796 of the family's 1831-position model. The record is from RNAcentral.
CCCUUAGAUGUCCUGGGCCGCACGCGCGCUACACUGAACGGAUCAGCGCGUUUUCCCUUCCCGAGAGGGACGGGUAACCUGCUGAACCCCGUUCGUGGUAGGGAUCGGGGCUUGCAAUUAUUCCCCGUGAACCAGGAAUGCCCAGUAAGUGCAAGUCAUAAGCUUGCGUUGAUUACGUCCCUGCCCUUUGUACACACCGCCCGUCGCUACUACCGAUUGAACGUUUUAGUGAGGUACUCGGACUGAGCCUCAGAAGAUUCACGUCUUUUGUGCUGCUCGGGAAGAUUCCCAAACUUGAGCGUUUAGAGGAAGUAAAAGUCGUAGCA